Molecule: ribosomal RNA, 423 nt
Filed under: soil fungal sp. DM036
Lineage: Eukaryota; Fungi
Description: eukaryotic LSU rRNA
Rfam family: Eukaryotic large subunit ribosomal RNA
Source: RNAcentral
UUGUAGAGGGUGCUUUGGCGUUGGCUGUGNUCUAAGUUCCUUGGAACAGGACGUCGCANAGGGUGAGAAUCCCGUAUGUGGCCGCCAGUCUUCGCCGUGUAAAGCCCCUUCGACGAGUCGAGUUGUUUGGGAAUGCAGCUCUAAAUGGGAGGUAAAUUUCUUCUAAAGCUAAAUAUUGGCCAGAGACCGAUAGCGCACAAGUAGAGUGAUCGAAAGAUGAAAAGCACUUUGAAAAGAGAGUCAAAAAGCACGUGAAAUUGUUGAAAGGGAAGCGCUUGCAGCCAGACUUGCCUGUAGUUGCUCAUCCGGGCUUCCGCCCGGAGCACUCUUCUGCGGGCAGGCCAGCAUCAGUCCUGGNGGACGGAUAAAUGUUCGCCGAAUGUACCUCUCCUCGGGGAGGACUUAUAGCGGCGGGCGGCAUAC